AUUGAACGCUGGCGGCAGGCCUAACACAUGCAAGUCGGGCGGAUGAAGGGAGCUUGCUCCUGGAUUCAGCGGCGGACGGGUGAGUAAUGCCUAGGAAUCUGCCUGGUAGUGGGGGAUAACAUCCGGAAACGGGCGCUAAUACCGCAUACGUCCUGAGGGAGAAAGUGGGGGAUCUUCGGACCUCACGCUAUCAGAUGAGCCUAGGUCGGAUUAGCUAGUUGGUGGGGUAAAGGCCUACCAAGGCGACGAUCCGUAACUGGUCUGAGAGGAUGAUCAGUCACACUGGAACUGAGACACGGUCCAGACUCCUACGGGAGGCAGCAGUGGGGAAUAUUGGAAAAUGGGCGAAAGCCUGAUCCAGCCAUGCCGCGUGUGUGAAGAAGGUCUUCGGAUUGUAAAGCACUUUAAGUUGGGAGGAAGGGCAGUAAGUUAAUACCUUGCUGUUUUGACGUUACCAACAGAAUAAGCACCGGCUAACUUCGUG
Molecule: ribosomal RNA, 484 nt
Filed under: uncultured bacterium
Lineage: Bacteria
Description: partial 16S ribosomal RNA
Rfam family: Bacterial small subunit ribosomal RNA
Source: RNAcentral